Long non-coding RNA from Mytilus californianus (California mussel), 1758 nucleotides. RefSeq lists it as uncharacterized. NCBI's taxonomy places the organism in Eukaryota, Metazoa, Mollusca, Bivalvia, Mytilida, Mytilidae. The record is from RefSeq and is a predicted model, not a curated record. The transcript is spliced from 4 exons.
UUGGCCUAUUCAAUGGCUUCUAAAGAAAAAUAAUGAGGGAUGUCACGGGGUAUGACAAUAUAGGUCUUGUAGAAGAGAAACAGGCGCAUCUCUUGCGCAAGGUUUCGAAAGGCGCUAUGUUCAAAAAUCUGAAACUAGAGCUCAAAAUUUGAAAAAAAUUGUUAAAAACAGGGGGGUUGGCCUAUUCCAUGGCUUAUAGAGAAAAAUAAUGAGGGGUGUCACGGGGUAUGACUAUAUAGGUCUUGUAGAGGAGAAACAGGCGCAUCUCUUGCGCAAGGUAUCGAAGGGCGCUAUGUUCAAAAAUCUGAAACUAGAGCUCAAAAUUUGAAAAAAAUUGUUAAAAACAGGGGGAAUGGCCUAUUCCAUGGCUUCUAGAGAAAAAUAAUGAGGGGUGUCACGGGGUAUGACUAUAUAGGUCUUGUAGAAGAGAAACAAGCGCAUCUUUUGCGCAAAGUAACGAAGGGCGCUAUGUUCAAAAAUCUGAAACUAGAGCUCAAAAUUUGAAAAAAAAAUUGUUAAAAACAGGGGGGUUGGCCUAUUCCAUGGUUUCUAGAGAAAAAAUAAUGAGGGGUGUCACGGGGUAUGACUAUAUAGGUCUUGUAGAGGAGAAACAGGCGCAUCUUUUGCGCAAGGUAUCGAAGGGCGCUAUGUUCAAAAAUCUGAAACUAGAGCUCAAAAUUUGAAAAAAAUUUGUUAAAAACAGGGGGAAUGGCCUAUUCCAUGGCUUCUAGAGAAAAAUAAUGAGGGGUGUCACGGGGUAUGACUAUAUAGGUCUUGUAGAAGAGAAACAAGCGCAUCUUUUGCGCAAAGUAACGAAGGGCGCUAUGUUCAAAAAUCUGAAACUAGAGCUCAAAAUUUGAAAAAAAAAAUUGUUAAAAACAGGGGGGUUGGCCUAUUCCAUGGUUUCUAGAGAAAAAAUAAUGAGGGGUGUCACGGGGUAUGACUAUAUAGGUCUUGUAGAGGAGAAACAGGCACAUCUUUUGCGCAAGGUAUUGAAGGGCGCUAUGUUCAAAAAUCUGAAACUAGAGCUCAAAAUUUGAAAAAAAAAAUUGUUAAAAACAGGGGGUUUGCCUAUUCAAUGGCUUCUAGGGGAAAAUAAUGAGGGGUGUCACGGGGUAUGACUAUAUAGGUCUUGUAGAAGAGAAACAGGCGCAUCUUUUGCGCAAGGUAUCGAAGGGUGCUAUGUUCAAAAAUCUGAAACUAGAGCUCAAAAUUUGAAAAAAAAUGUUUAAAACAGGGGGGUUGGCCUAUUCAAUGGCUUCUAAAGAAAAAUAAUGAGGGAUGUCACGGGGUAUGACAAUAUAGGUCUUGUAGAAGAGAAACAGGCGCAUCUCUUGCGCAAGGUUUCGAAAGGCGCUAUGUUCAAAAAUCUGAAACUAGAGCUCAAAAUUUGAAAAAAAUUGUUAAAAACAGGGGGGUUGGCCUAUUCCAUGGCUUAUAAAGAAAAAUAAUGAGGGGUGUCACGGGGUAUGACUAUAUAGGUCUUGUAGAGGAGAAACAGGCGCAUCUUUUGUGCAAGGUAUCGAAGGGCGCUAUGUUCAAAAAUCUGAAACUAGAGCUCAAAAUUUGAAAAAAGUGUUAAAAACAGGGGGGUUGGCCUAUUCCAUGGCUUCUAGAGAAAAAUAAUGAGGGCUGUCACGGGGUAUGACUAUAUAGGUCUUGUAGAGGAGAAACAGGCGCAUGUUUUGCGCAAGGUAUCAAAGGGCGCUAUGUUAAAAAAUCUGAAACUAGAGCUCAAAAUUUGAAAAAAAAUAGUUA